This is a long non-coding RNA of Etheostoma spectabile (orangethroat darter), 437 nucleotides long. RefSeq lists it as uncharacterized. The record is from RefSeq and is a predicted model, not a curated record. NCBI's taxonomy places the organism in Eukaryota, Metazoa, Chordata, Actinopteri, Perciformes, Percidae. The transcript has 4 exons.
UUCCACAAACAAGAAAGCAUUCCGUUACAGGGCCCAUGAGGACACCCCUUACCCUCAUGGCACAGUGGAUGGAUACAUUUGAGGAGAAGAUGGAUGAGCUGCUCAUGCUCUUCAGGAGCUCCCCGUCCCCUCCCUCUGCUCCAAAUCAAAGCGUGCCAUUUGCCGAAAAGCAGCUGGGCAAAAUAUCCUGUUAAAAAAAUAUGGCGAACAGAUUCCUACGCCAAAGCUGUGGACCGGUGUCGGCGGCUGAUGGACACUUCCAACAUCGAGACAGAAGAUGAAGCAAGUGUCCAAAAAGGCAGUGUCGAGGCCCAAGGAGGUUCAUGACAGAUUCUUCAAACAAUGAUGAAUUUGUUGCACGACCAGAUAAACUGUGCAGGACGGAGCGUGCGUCUGAAGCCCUGUCUGGAAGUUAAAAUGUAUGCAUGCAUAUAAGA